Molecule: ribosomal RNA, 397 nt
Filed under: uncultured bacterium
Lineage: Bacteria
Description: bacterial SSU rRNA
Rfam family: Bacterial small subunit ribosomal RNA
Source: RNAcentral
UAUUGGACAAUGGGGGCAACCCUGAUCCAGCAAUGCCGCGUGAGUGAUGAAGGCCUUAGGGUUGUAAAGCUCUUUUACCCGAGAUGAUAAUGACAGUAUCGGGAGAAUAAGCUCCGGCUAACUCCGUGCCAGCAGCCGCGGUAAUACGGAGGGAGCUAGCGUUGUUCGGAAUUACUGGGCGUAAAGCGCACGUAGGCGGCGAUUUAAGUCAGAGGUGAAAGCCCGGGGCUCAACCCCGGAACUGCCUUUGAGACUGGAUUGCUUGAAUCCUGGAGAGGUGAGUGGAAUUCCGAGUGUAGAGGUGAAAUUCGUAGAUAUUCGGAAGAACACCAGUGGCGAAGGCAGCUCACUGGACAGGUAUUGACGCUGAGGUGCGAAAGCGUGGGGAGCAAACAGG